RNAcentral lists this ribosomal RNA (551 nucleotides) under Gautieria sp. RNAcentral describes it as "partial large subunit ribosomal RNA". It matches the Rfam family "Eukaryotic large subunit ribosomal RNA", at positions 87 to 610 of the family's 3401-position model. The record is from RNAcentral. Lineage: Eukaryota; Fungi; Basidiomycota; Agaricomycetes; Gomphales; Gomphaceae.
CGGCGAGUGAAGCGGGAUGAGCUCAAAUUUGUAAUCUGGCGGCCUCCGGUCGUCCGAGUUGUAGUCUGGAGAAGCGUCUUCCGCGUCGGACCGUGUACAAGUCCCUUGGAACAGGGCGUCACAGAGGGUGAGAAUCCCGUCUUUGACACGGACUGCCGACGCUUUGCGAUGCGCUCUCGAAGAGUCGAGUUGUUUGGGAAUGCAGCUCAAAUCGGGUGGUAAAUUCCAUCUAAAGCUAAAUAUGGGCGAAAGACCGAUAGCGAACAAGUACCGUGAGGGAAAGAUGAAAAGCACUUUGGAAAGAGAGUUAAACAGUACGUGAAAUUGUUGAAAGGGAAACGCUUGAAGUCAGUCGCGUCUCCCGGGACUCAGCCCUCGCUUCUGCUGGGUGUACUUCCCGGGGCGACGGGCCAGCAUCGAUUUCGACCGUCGGAGAAAGGCCUUGGGAAUGUGGCACCUUCGGGUGUGUUAUAGCCCUCGGUCGUAUGCGACGGUGGGGAUCGAGGACCGCAGCACGCCUCUUUUUGGCCGGGGUUCGCCCACGCACGUGC